GCGAGCGUUAAUNGGAAUUACUGGGCGUAAAGCGAGCGCAGACGGUUACUUAAGCGGGAUGUGAAAUCCCCGGGCUCAACCUGGGAACUGCGUUNUGAACUGGGUGACUAGAGUGUGUCAGAGGGAGGUAGAAUNCCACGUGUAGCAGUGAAAUGCGUAGAGAUGUGGAGGAAUACCGAUGGCGAAGGCAGCCUCCUGGGAUAACACUGACGUUCAUGCUCGAAAGCGUGGGUAGCAAACAGGAUUAGAUACCCUGGUAGUCCACGCCCUAAACGAUGUCAAUUAGCUGUUGGGCAACUUGAUUGCUUAGUAGCGUAGCUAACGCGUGAAAUUGACCGCCUGGGGAGUACGGUCGCAAGAUUAAAACUCAAAGGAAUUGACGGGGACCCGCACAAGCGGUGGAUGAUGUGGAUUAAUUCGAUGCAACGCGAAGAACCUUACCUGGUCUUGACAUGUACGGAAUCCUCCAGAGACGGAGGAGUGCCUUCGGGAGCCGUAACACAGGUGCUGCAUGGCUGUCGUCAGCUCGUGUCGUGAGAUGUUGGGUUAAGUCCCGCAACGAGCGCAACCCUUGUCAUUAGUUGCCAUCAUUUAGUUGGGCACUNUAAUGAGACUGCCGGUGACAAGCCGGAGGAAGGUGGGGAUGACGUCAAGUCCUCAUGGCCCUUAUGACCAGGGCUUCACACGUCAUACAAUGGUCGGUACAGAGGGUAGCCAAGCCGCGAGGUGGAGCCAAUCUCACAAAACCGAUCGUAGUCCGGAUUGCACUCUGCAACUCGAGUGCAUGAAGUCGGAAUCGNUAGUAAUCGCAGGUCAGCAUANUGCGGUGAAUACGUUCCCGGGUCUUGUACACACCGCCCNUCACACCAUGGGAGUGGGGGAUACCAGAAGUAGGUAGGGUANCCGCAAGGAGC
RNAcentral lists this ribosomal RNA (914 nucleotides) under uncultured bacterium. Its description in RNAcentral is "bacterial SSU rRNA". It matches the Rfam family "Bacterial small subunit ribosomal RNA", at positions 534 to 1449 of the family's 1533-position model. The record is from RNAcentral.